GAUUAAGUUAUUAAGGGCGCACGGUGGAUGCCUUGGCACUAGAAGCCGAUGAAGGACGUUACUAACGACGAUAUGCUUUGGGGAGCUGUAAGUAAGCUUUGAUCCAGAGAUUUCCGAAUGGGGAAACCCAGCAUGAGUUAUGUCAUGUUAUCGAUAUGUGAAUACAUAGCAUAUCAGAAGGCACACCCGGAGAACUGAAACAUCUUAGUACCCGGAGGAAGAGAAAGAAAAUUCGAUUCCCUUAGUAGCGGCGAGCGAAACGGGAAGAGCCCAAACCAACAAGCUUGCUUGUUGGGGUUGUAGGACACUCUAUACGGAGUUACAAAGGACGACAUUAGACGAAUCAUCUGGAAAGAUGAUCAAAGAAGGUAAUAAUCCUGUAGUCGAAAAUGUUGUCUCUCUUGAGUGGAUCCUGAGUACGACGGAGCACGUGAAAUUCCGUCGGAAUCUGGGAGGACCAUCUCCUAAGGCUAAAUACUCUCUAGUGACCGAUAGUGAACCAGUACCGUGAGGGAAAGGUGAAAAGCACCCCGGAAAGGGGAGUGAAAUAGAACCUGAAACCGUGUGCUUACAAGUAGUCAGAGCCCGUUAAUGGGUGAUGGCGUGCCUUUUGUAGAAUGAACCGGCGAGUUACGAUUUGAUGCAAGGUUAAGCAGUAAAUGUGGAGCCGUAGCGAAAGCGAGUCUGAAUAGGGCGUUUAGUAUUUGGUCGUAGACCCGAAACCAGGUGAUCUACCCUUGGUCAGGUUGAAGUUCAGGUAACACUGAAUGGAGGACCGAACCGACUUACGUUGAAAAGUGAGCGGAUGAACUGAGGGUAGCGGAGAAAUUCCAAUCGAACCUGGAGAUAGCUGGUUCUCUCCGAAAUAGCUUUAGGGCUAGCCUCAAGUGAUGAUUAUUGGAGGUAGAGCACUGUUUGGACGAGGGGCCCCUCUCGGGUUACCGAAUUCAGACAAACUCCGAAUGCCAAUUAAUUUACUUGGGAGUCAGAACAUGGGUGAUAAGGUCCGUGUUCGAAAGGGAAACAGCCCAGCCACCAGCUAAGGUCCCAAAAUAUAUGUUAAGUGGAAAAGGAUGUGGCGUUGCCCAGACAACUAGGAUGUUGGCUUAGAAGCAGCCAUCAUUUAAAGAGUGCGUAAUAGCUCACUAGUCGAGUGACACUGCGCCGAAAAUGUACCGGGGCUAAACAUAUUACCGAAGCUGUGGAUUGUCCUUUGGACAAUGGUAGGAGAGCGUUCUAAGGGCGUUGAAGCAUGAUCGUAAGGACAUGUGGAGCGCUUAGAAGUGAGAAUGCCGGUGUGAGUAGCGAAAGACGGGUGAGAAUCCCGUCCACCGAUUGACUAAGGUUUCCAGAGGAAGGCUCGUCCGCUCUGGGUUAGUCGGGUCCUAAGCUGAGGCCGACAGGCGUAGGCGAUGGAUAACAGGUUGAUAUUCCUGUACCACCUAUAAUCGUUUUAAUCGAUGGGGGGACGCAGUAGGAUAGGCGAAGCGUGCGAUUGGAUUGCACGUCUAAGCAGUAAGGCUGAGUAUUAGGCAAAUCCGGUACUCGUUAAGGCUGAGCUGUGAUGGGGAGAAGACAUUGAGUCUUCGAGUCGUUGAUUUCACACUGCCGAGAAAAGCCUCUAGAUAGAAAAUAGGUGCCCGUACCGCAAACCGACACAGGUAGUCAAGAUGAGAAUUCUAAGGUGAGCGAGCGAACUCUCGUUAAGGAACUCGGCAAAAUGACCCCGUAACUUCGGGAGAAGGGGUGCUCUUUAGGGUUAACGCCCAGAAGAGCCGCAGUGAAUAGGCCCAAGCGACUGUUUAUCAAAAACACAGGUCUCUGCUAAACCGUAAGGUGAUGUAUAGGGGCUGACGCCUGCCCGGUGCUGGAAGGUUAAGAGGAGUGGUUAGCUUCUGCGAAGCUACGAAUCGAAGCCCCAGUAAACGGCGGCCGUAACUAUAACGGUCCUAAGGUAGCGAAAUUCCUUGUCGGGUAAGUUCCGACCCGCACGAAAGGCGUAACGAUUUGGGCACUGUCUCAACGAGAGACUCGGUGAAAUCAUAGUACCUGUGAAGAUGCAGGUUACCCGCGACAGGACGGAAAGACCCCGUGGAGCUUUACUGUAGCCUGAUAUUGAAAUUCGGCACAGCUUGUACAGGAUAGGUAGGAGCCUUUGAAACGUGAGCGCUAGCUUACGUGGAGGCGCUGGUGGGAUACUACCCUAGCUGUGUUGGCUUUCUAACCCGCACCACUUAUCGUGGUGGGAGACAGUGUCAGGCGGGCAGUUUGACUGGGGCGGUCGCCUCCUAAAAGGUAACGGAGGCGCUCAAAGGUUCCCUCAGAAUGGUUGGAAAUCAUUCAUAGAGUGUAAAGGCAUAAGGGAGCUUGACUGCGAGACCUACAAGUCGAGCAGGGUCGAAAGACGGACUUAGUGAUCCGGUGGUUCCGCAUGGAAGGGCCAUCGCUCAACGGAUAAAAGCUACCCCGGGGAUAACAGGCUUAUCUCCCCCAAGAGUUCACAUCGACGGGGAGGUUUGGCACCUCGAUGUCGGCUCAUCGCAUCCUGGGGCUGUAGUCGGUCCCAAGGGUUGGGCUGUUCGCCCAUUAAAGCGGUACGCGAGCUGGGUUCAGAACGUCGUGAGACAGUUCGGUCCCUAUCCGUCGUGGGCGUAGGAAAUUUGAGAGGAGCUGUCCUUAGUACGAGAGGACCGGGAUGGACAUACCUCUGGUGUACCAGUUGUCGUGCCAACGGCAUAGCUGGGUAGCUAUGUGUGGACGGGAUAAGUGCUGAAAGCAUCUAAGCAUGAAGCCCCCCUCAAGAUGAGAUUUCCCAACUUCGGUUAUAAGAUCCCUCAAAGAUGAUGAGGUUAAUAGGUUCGAGGUGGAAGCAUGGUGACAUGUGGAGCUGACGAAUACUAAUCGAUCGAAGACUUAAUCAA
This 2921-nucleotide ribosomal RNA is filed under the name Staphylococcus aureus. Its description in RNAcentral is "23S ribosomal RNA". It matches the Rfam family "Bacterial large subunit ribosomal RNA". Lineage: Bacteria; Bacillati; Bacillota; Bacilli; Caryophanales; Staphylococcaceae. The record is from RNAcentral.